RNAcentral lists this ribosomal RNA (594 nucleotides) under uncultured bacterium. RNAcentral describes it as "bacterial SSU rRNA". It matches the Rfam family "Bacterial small subunit ribosomal RNA", at positions 338 to 956 of the family's 1533-position model. The record is from RNAcentral.
CCUACGGGAGGCAGCAGUGGGGAAUCUUGCGCAAUGGGCGAAAGCCUGACGCAGCCAUGCCGCGUGAAUGAUGAAGGUCUUAGGAUUGUAAAAUUCUUUCACCGGGGACGAUAAUGACGGUACCCGGAGAAGAAGCCCCGGCUAACUUCGUGCCAGCAGCCGCGGUAAUACGAAGGGGGCUAGCGUUGCUCGGAAUUACUGGGCGUAAAGGGAGCGUAGGCGGAUAGUUUAGUCAGAGGUGAAAGCCCAGGGCUCAACCUUGGAAUUGCCUUUGAUACUGGCUAUCUUGAGUACGGAAGAGGUAUGUGGAACUCCGAGUGUAGAGGUGAAAUUCGUAGAUAUUCGGAAGAACACCAGUGGCGAAGGCGACAUACUGGUCCGUUACUGACGCUGAGGCUCGAAAGCGUGGGGAGCAAACAGGAUUAGAUACCCUGGUAGUCCACGCUGUAAACGAUGAGUGCUAGUUGUCGGCAUGCAUGCAUGUCGGUGACGCAGCUAACGCAUUAAGCACUCCGCCUGGGGAGUACGGUCGCAAGAUUAAAACUCAAAAGAGUAAGUAGACGNGAGAGAGCGACGAGACACACGGAGGAGAGG